UUUUCUUUUGAUUUUGGAUUCACUUAUCUAUCUAUUUUUGUAUUCGACGAAGAAAGGAAUGACAAAGAAAUAAAAGUUGAUAAUUCUAAAUCCAAUUUAGUUUCAAUUAAUAUAUUACCGGAAAAUUGAGGUAAUACAAACAAAACAAGGAUUUCAAACAAUUUUUCGAAUCGCAGUACAGUAUUUUGGUUUUCAUUUAAGUAUCUUAAAUGAUAUUGUUGCCGCCAACCUAACUAUUCUAUUUCCAUUUCCGGUCUUACUCUCUUAAUAUUAAGAAUGGAAUUGAAUUAUUUAUUCAAUUCCAUUGAAGCCUGUACCAGAUUUCGAGUUUCGCGAAGGACAAAUCCACCUUUUCUUUUAUUCUUUCUCUUUUCUAACUUAUUCUAUUUGAUUCGAAUUCUAAAAAAAAAUAGGAGGAAUUUUCGAUAUUUUUUUCGAUUUCGAAUCCUCUUCACCGCUUCCUGUGACAGUAACUAUAAUUAAAAAAAGGGGAAUAUCAAUGCAUCCAGAAAAAAACGAUUGAUUUCGAUCAAUAGACCCGCUAAAGCUCCGAACCAUAGAGUACUUAC
RNAcentral lists this long non-coding RNA (569 nucleotides) under Arachis ipaensis. RNAcentral's name for it is "long non-coding RNA (AIPA_LNC001523)". Lineage: Eukaryota; Viridiplantae; Streptophyta; Magnoliopsida; Fabales; Fabaceae. The record is from RNAcentral.